This 27-nucleotide non-coding RNA is filed under the name Homo sapiens (human). The record is from RNAcentral. Lineage: Eukaryota; Metazoa; Chordata; Mammalia; Primates; Hominidae.
UCCACACAGGAACAGACCAGAGAGGAU